AGGGGAGUAGCUCAAUUGGUAGAGCGUCGGUCUCCAAAACCGGUGGCUGCGGGUUCAAGUCCUGUCUCCCCUG
RNAcentral lists this transfer RNA (73 nucleotides) under Hydrogenispora ethanolica. RNAcentral's name for it is "Firmicutes bacterium LX-B tRNA". It matches the Rfam family "tRNA". From Rfam's summary of the family: Transfer RNA (tRNA) molecules are approximately 80 nucleotides in length. Their secondary structure includes four short double-helical elements and three loops (D, anti-codon, and T loops). Lineage: Bacteria; Bacillati; Bacillota. The record is from Rfam by way of RNAcentral.